GACUCCGUAGCUCAGUUGGUAGAGCAAUUGACUCUUAAUCAAUGGGUCGACAGUUCGAACCUGUCCGGGAUCACCA
Molecule: transfer RNA, 76 nt
Filed under: Spirosoma agri
Lineage: Bacteria; Pseudomonadati; Bacteroidota; Cytophagia; Cytophagales; Cytophagaceae
Description: tRNA-Lys
Rfam family: tRNA
About the family: Transfer RNA (tRNA) molecules are approximately 80 nucleotides in length. Their secondary structure includes four short double-helical elements and three loops (D, anti-codon, and T loops). Further hydrogen bonds mediate the characteristic L-shaped molecular structure. tRNAs have two regions of fundamental functional importance: the anti-codon, which is responsible for specific mRNA codon recognition, and the 3' end, to which the tRNAs corresponding amino acid is attached (by aminoacyl-tRNA synthetases). tRNAs cope with the degeneracy of the genetic code in two manners: having more than one tRNA (with a specific anti-codon) for a particular amino acid; and 'wobble' base-pairing, i.e. permitting non-standard base-pairing at the 3rd anti-codon position.
Source: RNAcentral